AGAGUUUGAUCCUGGCUCAGAUUGAACGCUGGCGGCAUGCCUUACACAUGCAAGUCGAACGGCAGCACGGGGGCAACCCUGGUGGCGAGUGGCGAACGGGUGAGUAAUACAUCGGAACGUGUCCUGUAGUGGGGGAUAGCCCGGCGAAAGCCGGAUUAAUACCGCAUACGCUCUACGGAGGAAAGGGGGGGAUCUUAGGACCUCUCGCUACAGGGGCGGCCGAUGGCAGAUUAGCUAGUUGGUGGGGUAAAGGCCUACCAAGGCGACGAUCUGUAGCUGGUCUGAGAGGACGACCAGCCACACUGGGACUGAGACACGGCCCAGACUCCUACGGGAGGCAGCAGUGGGGAAUUUUGGACAAUGGGCGCAAGCCUGAUCCAGCAAUGCCGCGUGUGUGAAGAAGGCCUUCGGGUUGUAAAGCACUUUUGUCCGGAAAGAAAUCCUUUGGGCUAAUACCCUGAGGGGAUGACGGUACCGGAAGAAUAAGCACCGGCUAACUACGUGCCAGCAGCCGCGGUAAUACGUAGGGUGCAAGCGUUAAUCGGAAUUACUGGGCGUAAAGCGUGCGCAGGCGGUCCGCUAAGACAGAUGUGAAAUCCCCGGGCUUAACCUGGGAACUGCAUUUGUGACUGGCGGGCUAGAGUAUGGCAGAGGGGGGUAGAAUUCCACGUAGCAGUGAAAUGCGUAGAGAUGUGGAGGAAUACCGAUGGCGAAGGCAGCCCCCUGGGCCAAUACUGACGCUCAUGCACGAAAGCGUGGGGAGCAAACAGGAUUAGAUACCCUAGUAGUCC
This 791-nucleotide ribosomal RNA is filed under the name uncultured bacterium. RNAcentral's name for it is "bacterial SSU rRNA". It matches the Rfam family "Bacterial small subunit ribosomal RNA", at positions 8 to 796 of the family's 1533-position model. The record is from RNAcentral.